AAAGGUUCCCGCCGUGAAAAAAAAGUAGAACGCAAUUAACUAGCUGUGUGAGCUGCAGACUUGUAAGCAAUGUUACUCACAGGCAGUAGCGCCGCGGUGUUGAGAAGCAAGCCAACUCGUGCGCUUCCUUGGCCCUUAGGAGUUGAGAUAUGCCAUCGUGCUGAAAAAUAGGAUGAUUAACAGCAAUAACGCAGCAAGCUAACAAUGUUGAGUGAGCUGGAUUUUGUAGGGGCAUAGGCCUUGGAUUGGGUACGAAUUCUUAACAUAUUUCCAUUAGAUUCAGAGAUUCCAGAAUGUAACCAGUUCCGAUGGGAUUAUAUAUAGGAUCGAACGAAACUCAAGACGGAUGUCAUUAAGGGUGACUAACCUUCUUUCUCGCUUGCAGGCAUUGAGGCAUGUGCUUGCUGAAGUUGAUUUGGACCGGUUUGACCACGUUGAGCGCAUGCCAGACCCUAUGCCAAAGCCAGCUUGCUAAUUGUGUUGCUCUCUCUCACCACAGUCUAGACCAUGACUUUGUAGUUUGCAAGCAUCUGUUCAUCACAUGUUUGACUAGUAACCGAAAAUGUCAACAACGGCUGCUGAGGCCAAGAUAUUGCUCUGGCUCCGCCUUAUCUACAGGCAGGUGUUAUUUACUGUGUUUUACACCUAUCCAGCUCAAUUUGCUACCUGGAGCUUGAAUUGCCCAAACUAAUAGAAAAUGGUGAAAAGAUCACAUGUUAAUACCUACCUAAUGUAUUGAUCUCAUCUGCAGAAUCAGGUGAAUUGCUGAGAUGAUUUCUCCCAACAAAAAAUCAGUUUAGAUACAUGACACAGAAUGCACUGACCUUGGACUUUUGCACAGUUGUUGAACUUUAGCCCAUCAUGGUGCUACUGAAUGAUCAGUCCUGUCAGUUCUGAUAGUUUUGUCUUUUCAUCUACACUUCUGACAGGUCUUAUUAAUAGCCCAAGAUGCUGAAAGCGCUGAACUAUUCAAAGAAUCAAAGAGCUGUUUGGUGUGCUUCCGUGUCUAAACCCAAUACUGCGAUAUUUCAGAGCUGUUUGCCUUUGCUGCCCUCCCUGUUCCAGCAUUUGUGGUGUCAGGUUCCUUUCCACCAGUUUAAUCCAGACUUGCUUCCUAAGGGACGGACCUAAGAGACUGACAACGAUAAUUCAGACCUAAUUAACUAUUCAACUGACACAAUGACGCCAGGGAAAUUGCAGUUUGCUACAACAAUACGAGACCCGUUUGUCUCAACUUGAGACCCGUUUGUCUCAACUUGAAUUGUAACAGAUGGUAUGCUGCAUACCACAAUAAGCUAAGACAAAGAAACAUAUAUAUAUAUAACCUUAAACGUGUGUACCAAACCAUAUAGAGCAGACCCACGUGAUUGCAAGCACUGGGAACAUCAUUGUACUCCAAAGGAAAACAUCCUAAAGAGCCGUGACAAGUCGAAACACUUGUAUUAAUUCGAAAACAGAAUGAUCGUCACACAGGAAAGAACGCAGUGGAAAGAUUUUUUGCUAGAUAUCUUUUUGAAAGAAAAAAGAACACAAUCAUCAUCACUAGCAACAGAGAAAGUGUGGACUCGAAGACCUCUGUAUAGAUAUGUUCUCAAGAAUUUGUCGGGAAAAGAUGAGAUAUUCCCAGUAGUAAAUAAAGAGCAAAGAGCUAAGAUCGCAUCAGCUCGUAUCAGAUAGUUGCCACCAAUCCUUGUGGCUCCAAGUUCCUAAGCAACGUGCAGGCUAAAUAAAACCAAAUCAAGCUCAAAGUUCCAAGCUUCAAAUAUAUUUUUAGUACCUGCUGAUCUCACCCUUCCCAGCCUUAAACUACUACUCUAUCUGACAACUACGGAUAAGAUAACACUAGCCCAUGCAUCUUUGCUUAAACAAGUCCUAAUCUCUAUGAGAAAAGAUAAUAAUCUUCUAACUGGAUUCAAGAGGGUUCGGGAAGGGGGAGCGGAAUUAAAGAAUACAUACCCGUGGGCAAGAAUCAUGUAGAGCUGAGCUGCAUAGGCAACUAACCACCCAACCAACAAGAUUAAACAACUAAUAAUCAACAGAUCAAUACAAAGCAUUCGGGUACUAGGCUUUUGCUAUUUGUAUUUAACAAAUCUGUAAGACCAAAUUGUGGGACCCUGGGGACCAUUUUCUUACAUGAGCAUCUAUACUAAGGCCUUAAAGGGCUUGCAUCACCCAGAAAAGGCUCUCGUGCUACAGUGCCAGACCAUGUGGUUGAACCCCAGCCAAAAAAACAGCAGAUUUGUU
RNAcentral lists this long non-coding RNA (2244 nucleotides) under Zea mays. RNAcentral describes it as "long non-coding RNA (ZMAY_LNC004862)". The record is from RNAcentral. Lineage: Eukaryota; Viridiplantae; Streptophyta; Magnoliopsida; Poales; Poaceae.